AUGUCCUACUGCUGACAGGAACAGAAGGAUCACAUCAUAUUUGUGACCAAAGAAGACUACAAAACUCCAAGCAUUGCAGAGCUGGUGGCUGAUGACCCCAACGAUCCCUCCCUAGGAGAAGCAUGGAUUGAUGCUGCCAAAUGGGAGACUUUGGCACUGCCUCUUCCUUGGGGGAAUGGCCAAUGGCUCCUACAGGGAACAGUUCAAGGCAGCCUUUUCCUGCUUCCACCAUAACAUGAGCAGGUCAAGGGGUCAGACUGUGUAGACCAGUUCCGAGCCAUGCAGGAAGGCAGGCAGGAAUAUCCAGAUCUCUAUCCCCAAGAAGGGGAGGAAGAGGUAGAGGAGAAGCCAGCAGAACAUGUAGAAGAAACAGCUCCCAAUGAGGCUACUGCAACCAAAGAAAAGGAAGGGUCAAGUUAA
Molecule: long non-coding RNA, 420 nt
Filed under: Homo sapiens (human)
Lineage: Eukaryota; Metazoa; Chordata; Mammalia; Primates; Hominidae
Description: non-protein coding lnc-KLF4-5:4
Source: RNAcentral